Molecule: ribosomal RNA, 400 nt
Filed under: uncultured bacterium
Lineage: Bacteria
Description: partial 16S ribosomal RNA
Rfam family: Bacterial small subunit ribosomal RNA
Source: RNAcentral
AAUAUUGCACAAUGGGCGCAAGCCUGAUGCAGCAACGCCGCGUGCGCGACGAAGGCCUUCGGGUCGUAAAGCGCCUUUCGGGGAGAUGAGCACGGACAGUAUCCCCGGAAGAAGGAUCUGCUAACUACGUGCCAGCAGCCGCGGUAAAACGUAGGAUCCGAGCGUUAUCCGAAUUCACUGGGCGUAAAGCGCGGGCAGGCGGUGGUCCAAGUCGGACGUGAAAGCUCCCGGCUCAACUGGGAGAGUGCAUUCAAGACUGCCUGGCUAGAGGACGGUAGAGGGGCGCAGAAUUCGGGGUGUAGCGGUGAAAUGUGUAGAGAUCCCGAGGAAUACCAGUGGGGAAGCCGGCGCCCUGGGCCGAACCUGACGCUGAGGCGCGACAGCGUGGGGAGCGAACGGG